Long non-coding RNA from Gadus morhua (Atlantic cod), 4076 nucleotides. NCBI's taxonomy places the organism in Eukaryota, Metazoa, Chordata, Actinopteri, Gadiformes, Gadidae. The record is from Ensembl.
AUGCAGAGACGGAAGAUGUUGCGACUGUGGAAGGAGCAAAGACCAGGAAAGGCCACAGCACAGGACCUCUUGAGGGGUCUGGAAGGGCUGAAGGUCCUACCGGACAAUACUCGUCGGUCAUUGGAAGGGUUUUGUGGGAAUCCGUCAUUCAGUAGCGGACAGGAAAGCUAUCCUGGUCCGACGUUCCCCAAAAUACCUUCCCACAAACCUCUGAUGACGUCAGGCAGUAGCGGACAGGGGAGCUUGUCCAAGUCUGAGCUGUCCGGCCCUGUGGACUCUGAGUCCUCACUUCCAUUUGCAAUGCAUGGUAGCACGCAGGGUGAGUUCAAUGGUGAAUCUCAAUUCACCCCUUCACCCAAACCCUCACCCCUACCCCUCACUUUUGCGCUUUCAUGCGCAGGGUAGCGUUUUCCUGAUUGUCAUUUUAUUGAGGUGUCAGUGGUAAGGGGGAGGGCUAACAUCUCUUGAAAGUAAGAUUUUCGAUGUGCAGACUAGCAAACGCGGGUUGUGAUGUAACAUAACCAGUAGGGCCGAGAUUUCACGUUCUACAUUUCACACACACCAGUUAAAAAGUAUAUCAUAUAAUAACAUAAUAAGAUCUCACAUAAUUUUUUUUAACAACGUAAAGUAAUGGUCUGUUGCCGUCGGUUACAUGUCGAUUGCGUAAUAUGGCCUUAUCCCCUUACUUCAGGGAAACACGAAAACAGUAAUCCAGAAGAGGCCUAAUGUAUUGACAUGAUGCGUCAAAAGCAAUCUAGCUUAAAAGUGUUCUCGACACGCCCAUUUUACCCAGGAUGCAGCGGUUGGUAUCUUGAAGGAACUUGGCAGCACAGAUACCACAGAAUUCAUUUUGGCAUUCCAGUGAGGAGCGGUAAACAAAAGAGCAGACCAAGAACGCAAUGUUUUUAUAACAACUUUCGCAUGCUAUCUCAUCACCAAAUUCACUUCUGAUAAAGUUUUAGGGGAGGAAUGUCCUUAAAAUAUAGUGCCGACCAAAACUAGAGAGAAGGCUCACCUCACCACCACCGCGGCCAUACAGAAACAGAUGAAAGGGUGGCGAGGGGAGAGAGCUAAGAACUAAUAUAAAAUGAUAGAGUUCCCUGUGACAUUCUUCCAUAGGAGUCACGAAUAAAUAGAUAAAUUAAUAAUAGAUCAGACCUGGAUGGACACAAUAACAAACAGACCGUGGUCAAAAAGGUAAAGAAAGAAGUUGUAUAAUGCUUAACCCAUUUAAGCCGGGAAAGCGUUUUUCUGUAUAAGGGGGGUUUUUGCCCAAAGUGUCGGCCUCUGGGCCAAUGAAAUGCAUCAGAAUAGACACAUAUAGGUGUCAACUUGUUCCUCGUGAGUUUAGUUCAGAAAUUUCUUCAAGCAAGUUUGGCGGAAAUUGAGACUGAAGACUUUUCUGACGGUAGCGAUUUCGAGGAGUUUCUCGGCUUCGAAGAUGUUGAUGAGGCCGAGUACUUUGAUGACGAAUACGAACCGAUUGACCGGGAAUUAUGGUUAAGGCACAUGUUCGUGAAUGACGACGAGGAAGAAGAAGAUGAUUUAGGGGAGUUUGAGGGUUUCCAGACCAACUGGAAGACGGACAACUACCAUCGAAAUCAACAGAGUGCCUUCAACAGGACACCAGGGGUGAAGCUCAGAGAUGCGUAAAGCACCCGGGUGCGUAAAACCAGAUAAGCUUCUCUGGAAUGUAACUUAUACUUAUCAAUAGUAAUACUUAUUGAUUGUGAUGAUGCUGUAAUAAGAAAUUACGACAGUUUAUAUGUAAGAGAUGUAUUACUGUCCCGGAGAUGCGUAAAGCACCCGGCUGCGUAAAACCAGAUAAGCUUCUCUGGAAUGUCACACCUAAGUGCGAUCUCCAGACUAGCAAUACAUCUCUUCCAAAGAAUAGAGCUUCUUUGGAAUUUCACACCUAACUGCGAUCUCCAGAACAAUAAGGCCUAGGCUACUAUACAUUCCCAAAUUAUAGCCUGUAUCUUUUAAUUACGCUACUUCUUAGGAUGGAAUGCAAUUGUAUUUGUAUUAUGCAUAAUACUUUUAUUCAGUAGUCAUCACAUACAAGUGCAUGUAAUUUAAAACACAGACAGUUUUUUUGCAUAGUAUUUUUAUUCAAUCACAUACAAGUAUAAAUAGUAGCUUAAUAGUAGAUUAUUUCUUUUACUGUUUUUUGCUGUUCCUGCACUUUUACAUAUUUUUUUACUUUUCUACCUGUAUGUAAAUAUUGUAAAUAUUUGUAAAUAAAAACUCAAAUUUCCCAUGAAAGCCACAGGUGUCAGCUCUCAAAUACUUUUUGAAUUGUGUUCCUAUCUGUUACAGGGGCUGAGAAACCAGUAAUUUAGUAGGCGUUGACACAAUUGCUGAAUUUCUGGAAAAACUUCAGGUUUUGGGGGCUUUUCUGAAAUCGCCUAUAGGUUUUACAGGCAUUUUUUCCAGGCGCUUUAGGCCUAAAUGGGUUAAUGCUUAAAUAUAAUGUGAGCCGGUCAGUGGUAAAACAAACACAUUAAGAGGACUUACAUCGACGGGCGCUUUGCCCCAAAUGAUCUGAUUGACGUUUUUUGUGGAUUACUGCUGCAGUGUUUUCAAUCAUUGCUGGAAGGAUCUUAUAAAUCACUCUCCCAUUAGUCACUUAGACCUAAAAUGAUAGAAAAUAGGCUCAAGGUUGAGAAAUCCCAAAGAUUUCUUUAACUCUUUGGAUCCAAAUCUAUGAUCAGCUGGUACUUCACAUAAUGCUACACCAACGAUACAUUCUGAUUCAUGGACUCACUUUGAUAAAUUCCAUGAUAUGUGACAAACAUGAUACAUAAUCAUGAUUGUUAUAUAUGUUUUCAGCAGGCGUCCUAAGCCUAAGCUCCGGGCGCUGGAGGAACAGAUGUUGGCAACAUGCACACACUUCCUGUUUUGCAACCACUACACUUACACAUGAGGAGCGCUUAGCAGACGCUGAAAGAGAAACAAGUUAUCUGUCGGUACAGUAAGGAUGUUCAUAGAACCCAUUGGUCCAAAACUCCUGCUUUGUUCUUUCCUGGCUGUCAGGUAUAACAGGGAAUUUGAUGAAUUCCCCAGCAUGUCGGACUCGACCUGACGUAACUGCAUGUAUAGCCAAACUUAUUUCCGAUUGUGAAAUGCUUCCAAUAGAACUAAGGGGAUGCUGGGACGACCCAGAUGCAUAGAAAUGCAGUGCCGCUGUAACUUUCACUUCAACGGGGAGGUCAUAGGGACAGCGUGCAUCAGUCCACAGCUCAUCUGCCAGGAGAUGGCAGAUAUCUGUGACAGCCUGACGGGUCAGGCGUAGCUUACGCCUGCAUUCCUCCUCACUCAGGGAGAGAUAGGUGUGUCUGGGCCGGUAGACCCUCUCCCCCCGGCGUCUGAUCCUACAAUUCGCGUGAAUAAUUUGGGUAAAUGUGUACGCUAGAUUUAUGCCUAUUUAUUUUAUCUUUAUGGACACCACAAUGAUUUUCCUUGUGUGGUAAUAUUUUAUUUUCCUUGUAAUUAUGUUUGGUUUGCAAAAAUGGGAACUGCUGUCCGUGUAGAUGAGAGAAGCAAAGUGUAUGCGCGAGGUGCACAAGCAAUCCGUAUGCAUCGCAUGCGCAUGUAUGCAUGCACCCUUAAAAUAGCAUCUGAACAACGCGCCACUGACUUUAAACCAGGUAUUUCCUGGUUAGUAGCGCAAUUGUAUGCUCCAGAACACGCCUCCUCCUUUCGCCGAAUUCCCUAAUUUACCGGCGAGUGGCGGUGGUGGGAAAAGAACGCUCUGCGCCAGUUGUAAACUAGCAACGACACAUGCGUCAGUGACUAAGUGACUUGCGCCGGAUGCAAGAUAGGGCCCAAAGACUUUACUUAGGCAGGUCGUUUUUUAUUUUUAAACGGUCUAUGUUAAAUAUGUUUAAUCUGUAUUAUAUACAGUCUAUGUUAAAUCUGUAUAAUAUACGGUUUAUGUUAUCUCAGUUCAACCAUGCGUCGUGUUGAGUUGUCAUGCAGUGUUACAAAAGUGAGUUGACCAAGGAUUUCCAACUCAAAAGCAGGUGAAAAAACCAAAAGGAAAAGCUGCAAUCGCUCACCAGGAAAGGCCAAAG